Molecule: ribosomal RNA, 452 nt
Filed under: uncultured organism
Description: partial 16S ribosomal RNA
Rfam family: Bacterial small subunit ribosomal RNA
Source: RNAcentral
CGUACACUCCUGCGGGAGGCAGCAGUGGGGAAUAUUGGACAAUGGGCGCAAGCCUGAUCCAGCCAUGCCGCGUGAGUGAUGAAGGCCCUAGGGUUGUAAAGCUCUUUCACCGGUGAAGAUAAUGACGGUAACCGGAGAAGAAGCCCCGGCUAACUUCGUGCCAGCAGCCGCGGUAAUACGAAGGGGGCUAGCGUUGUUCGGAUUUACUGGGCGUAAAGCGCACGUAGGCGGACUAUUAAGUCAGGGGUGAAAUCCCGGGGCUCAACCCCGGAACUGCCUUUGAUACUGGUAGUCUUGAGUUCGAGAGAGGUGAGUGGAAUUCCGAGUGUAGAGGUGAAAUUCGUAGAUAUUCGGAGGAACACCAGUGGCGAAGGCGGCUCACUGGCUCGAUACUGACGCUGAGGUGCGAAGCGUGGGGAGCAAACAGGAUUAGAUACCCCUGUAGUCCCAUG